UACGUAGGUGACAAGCGUUAUCCGGAAUUAUUGGGCGUAAAGCGCACGCAAGCGGUUGGACAAGUCCGGCGUGAAAUCUCCCAGCUUAACUGGGAGCGGUCGCGGGAAACUGUUCGACUUGAGGCGAUGAGAGGGGUGCAGAAUUCCCGGUGUAGUGGUGGAAUGCGUAGAUAUCGGGAGGAAUACCAGUGGCGAAAGCGGCACCCUGGCGUCGUGCUGACGCACAUGUGCGAAAGCGUGGGGAGCGAACGGG
This 253-nucleotide ribosomal RNA is filed under the name uncultured Caldilinea sp. RNAcentral's name for it is "partial 16S ribosomal RNA". It matches the Rfam family "Bacterial small subunit ribosomal RNA", at positions 524 to 776 of the family's 1533-position model. Lineage: Bacteria; Bacillati; Chloroflexota; Caldilineae; Caldilineales; Caldilineaceae. The record is from RNAcentral.